This 355-nucleotide ribosomal RNA is filed under the name uncultured bacterium. RNAcentral's name for it is "bacterial SSU rRNA". It matches the Rfam family "Bacterial small subunit ribosomal RNA", at positions 30 to 367 of the family's 1533-position model. The record is from RNAcentral.
AGUGAACGCUGGCGGCAGGCCUAACACAUGCAAGUCGAGCGGCAGCGGGUUCCCGCGAGGGGAUGCCGGCGAGCGGCGGACGGGUGAGGAACACAUCGGAAUCUGCCUGGUUGUGGGGGAUAACGUAGGGAAACUUACGCUAAUACCGCAUGAGACCCUGAGUCGACGGACUGGGGGUGAAAGUGAGGGACCUUCGGGCCUCACGCGACCAGAUGAGCCGAUGUCGGAUUAGCUAGUUGGCGGGGUAACGGCCCGCCAAGGCGACGAUCCGUAGCUGGUCUGAGAGGAUGAUCAGCCACACUGGGACUGAGACACGGCCCAGACUCCUACGGGAGGCAGCAGUGGGGAAUCUUAG